This 431-nucleotide ribosomal RNA is filed under the name uncultured Enterococcus sp. Its description in RNAcentral is "bacterial SSU rRNA". It matches the Rfam family "Bacterial small subunit ribosomal RNA", at positions 505 to 938 of the family's 1533-position model. The record is from RNAcentral. Lineage: Bacteria; Bacillati; Bacillota; Bacilli; Lactobacillales; Enterococcaceae.
GUGCCAGCCGCUGCGGUAAUACGUAGGUGGCAAGCGUUGUCCGGAUUUAUUGGGCGUAAAGCGGGCGCAGGCGGUUUCUUAAGUCUGAUGUGAAAGCCCCCGGCUCAACCGGGGAGGGUCAUUGGAAACUGGGAAACUUGAGUGCAGAAGAGGAGAGUGGAAUUCCAUGUGUAGCGGUGAAAUGCGUAGAUAUAUGGAGGAACACCAGUGGCGAAGGCGGCUCUCUGGUCUGUAACUGACGCUGAGGCUCGAAAGCGUGGGAGCAAACAGGAUUAGAUACCCUGGUAGUCCAUGCCGUAAACGAUGAGUGCUAAGUGUUGGAGGUUUCCGCCUUCAGUGCUGCAGCUAACGCAUUAAGCACUCCGCCUGGGGAGUACGACCGCAAGGUUGAAACUCAAAGAAUUGACGGGGGCCCGCACAAGCGGUGGAGC